Molecule: ribosomal RNA, 520 nt
Filed under: uncultured Entrophospora
Lineage: Eukaryota; Fungi; Glomeromycota; Glomeromycetes; Entrophosporales; Entrophosporaceae
Description: SSU rRNA
Rfam family: Eukaryotic small subunit ribosomal RNA
Source: RNAcentral
AGCAGCCGCGGUAAUUCCAGCUCCAAUAGCGUAUAUUAAAGUUGUUGCAGUUAAAAAGCUCGUAGUUGAAUUUCGGGAUUGGCGCAUCGGUCGUGCCUUACGGGGUAUGAACUGGUGCAGUCAAUUUCUCACCUUCUGGAGAACCGCGAUGUCCUUAAUUGGGGUGCCGCGGGGGAACCAGGGACCUUUACUUUGAAAAAAUUAGAGUGUUUAAAGCAGGCAUUUUUGCUUGAAUACAUUAGCAUGGAAUAAUAAAAUAGGACGGCAUGGUUCUAUUUUGUUGGUUUCUAGGACCACCGUAAUGAUUAAUAGGGAUAGUUGGGGGCAUUAGUAUUCAAUUGUCAGAGGUGAAAUUCUUGGAUUUAUGAAGACUAACUACUGCGAAAGCAUUUGCCAAGGAUGUUUUCAUUAAUCAAGAACGAAAGUUAGGGGAUCGAAGACGAUCAGAUACCGUCGUAGUCCUUAACCAUAAACUUAUAGACCGACUAGGAAUCCAGACGAUAGUUAAUUUUUAAUGUAC